UUCGUUUGUGAAUUUCACACA
RNAcentral lists this non-coding RNA (21 nucleotides) under Caenorhabditis elegans. The record is from RNAcentral. Lineage: Eukaryota; Metazoa; Nematoda; Chromadorea; Rhabditida; Rhabditidae.